This 497-nucleotide ribosomal RNA is filed under the name uncultured bacterium. RNAcentral's name for it is "partial 16S ribosomal RNA". It matches the Rfam family "Bacterial small subunit ribosomal RNA", at positions 28 to 507 of the family's 1533-position model. The record is from RNAcentral.
GAUGAACGCUGGCGGCGUGCCUAAUACAUGCAAGUCGAGCGAACAGACGAGGAGCUUGCUCCUUUGACGUUAGCGGCGGACGGGUGAGUAACACGUAGAUAACCUACCUAUAAGACUGGGAUAACUUCGGGAAACCGGAGCUAAUACCGGAUAAUAUAUCGAACCGCAUGGUUCCAUAGUGAAAGACGGUUUUGCUUUCACUUAUAGAUGGACCAGCGCCGUAUUAGCUAGUUGGUAAGGUAACGGCUUACCAACGCAACGAUGCGUAGCCGACCUGAGAGGGUGAUCGGCCACACUGGAACUGAGACACGGUCCAGACUCCUACGGGAGGCAGCAGUAGGGACUCUUCCGCAAUGGGCGAAAGCCUGACGGAGCAACGCCGCGUGAGUGAUGAAGGUCCUCGGAUCGUAAAACUCUGUUAUUAGGAAAGAACAAAAGCGUAAGUAACUGUGCACGUCUUGACGGUACCUAAUCAGAAAGCCACGGCUAACUACGUG